This 406-nucleotide ribosomal RNA is filed under the name uncultured bacterium. RNAcentral describes it as "partial 16S ribosomal RNA". It matches the Rfam family "Bacterial small subunit ribosomal RNA", at positions 29 to 526 of the family's 1533-position model. The record is from RNAcentral.
AUUGAACGCUGGCGGCAGGCCUAACACAUGCAAGUCGAACGAGUGGCGGACGGGUGAGUAAUGUCUGUGAAACUGCCUGAUGGAGGGGGAUAACUACUGGAAACGGUAGCUAAUACCGCAUACCAUCGGAUGUGCCCAGAUGGUAUUAGCUAGUAGGGGGGGGAAAGGCUCACCUAGGCGACGAUCCCUAGCUGGUCUGAGAGGAAGACCAGCGACACUGGAAAGGAGACACGGUCCAGACUCCUACGGGAGGCAGCAGUGGGGAAUAUUGCACAAGGGGGGCAAGCCGGAUGCAGCAAUGCCGCGUGUAUGAAGAAGGCCUGCGGGUUGUAAAGUACUUUGAGCGGGGAGGCGUUACCCGCAGAAGAAGCACCGGCUAACUCCGUGCCAGCAGCCGCGGUAAUUC